RNAcentral lists this unclassified non-coding RNA (345 nucleotides) under soil metagenome. Its description in RNAcentral is "partial contains 5.8S ribosomal RNA, internal transcribed spacer 2, and large subunit ribosomal RNA". The stretch from base 1 to 120 matches the Rfam family "5.8S ribosomal RNA", at positions 35 to 154 of the family's 154-position model. The record is from RNAcentral.
GAUGAAGAACGUAGUGAAAUGCGAUAAGUAAUGUGAAUUGCAGAAUUCCGUGAAUCAUCGAAUCUUUGAACGCACAUUGCGCCCUCUGGUAUUCCGGGGGGCGUGCCUGUCCGAGCGUCAUUUGCAACCCUCAAGCCCGGCUUGUGUGAUGGGUGCCGUCCCCUACGGGACGCGCCCCGAAGGCAAUGGCGGCGUCGCGGUUAUCCGAUCAGCCAAAGUGUAUGGGGCUUUGUCACUCACUUUACGGCCCGGACCGGCGCCAGUCCGAAUCAAUCUUUUUUCUAAAGUUGACCUCGGAUCAGGUAGGGAUACCCGCUGAACUUAAGCAUAUCAAUAAGCGGAGGA